ACGGCGAGUGAAGCGGUAACAGCUCAAAUUUGAAAUCUGGCUCCUUCGGAGUCCGAGUUGUAAUUUGUAGAAGAUGCUUUGGGUUACAGGUCCGGUCUAAGUUCCUUGGAACAGGGCGUCGUAGAGGGUGAGAAUCCCGUAUGCGGCCGUGACCCGUGCCCGUGUAAAGCUCUUUCGACGAGUCGAGUUGUUUGGGAAUGCGGCUCAAAAUGGGUGGUAAAUUUCAUCUAAAGCUAAAUAUAGGCCAGAGACCGAUAGCGCACAAGUAGAGUGAUCGAAAGAUGAAAAGCACUUUGGAAAGAGAGUUAAACAGUACGUGAAAUUGUUGAAAGGGAAGCGCUUGCAACCAGACUUGGGCGUCGUGGAUCAUCCAAGGUUUUCCUCGGUGCACUCGACGACGCGCAGGCCAGCAUCGGUUCGGAUGGCUGGAAAAAGGUCCUAGAAAUGUAGCUCCUUGCGGGGAGUGUUAUAGUCUAGGGCGCAAUGCAGCCCAACCGGACCGAGGACCGCGCUUCGGCUAGGAUGCUGGCGUAAUGGUUGUAAGCGACCCGUCUUGAAACACGGACCAAGGAGUCUAACAUCUAUGCGAGUGUUUGGGCGUUAAACCCAUACGCGGAAUGAAAGUGAACGUAGGUGAGAACCCGCAAGGGGGCAUCAUCGACCGAUCCUGAAGUCUUCGGACGGAUUUGAGUAAGAGCAUAGCUGUU
This 707-nucleotide ribosomal RNA is filed under the name Neoerysiphe geranii. RNAcentral's name for it is "partial large subunit ribosomal RNA". It matches the Rfam family "Eukaryotic large subunit ribosomal RNA", at positions 86 to 810 of the family's 3401-position model. Lineage: Eukaryota; Fungi; Ascomycota; Leotiomycetes; Helotiales; Erysiphaceae. The record is from RNAcentral.